GAUGAACGCUGGCGGCGUGCCUAAUACAUGCAAGUCGAGCGAACAGACGAGGAGCUUGCUCCUCUGACGUUAGCGGCGGACGGGUGAGUAACACGUGGAUAACCUACCUAUAAGACUGGGAUAACUUCGGGAAACCGGAGCUAAUACCGGAUAAUAUAUUGAACCGCAUGGUUCAAUAGUGACAGACGGUUUUGCUGUCACUUAUAGAUGGAUCCGCGCCGCAUUAGCUAGUUGGUAAGGUAACGGCUUACCAAGGCAACGAUGCGUAGCCGACCUGAGAGGGUGAUCGGCCACACUGGAACUGAGACACGGUCCAGACUCCUACGGGGGGCAGCAGUAGGGAAUCUUCCGCAAUGGGCGAAAGCCUGACGGAGCAACGCCGCGUGAGUGAUGAAGGUCUUCGGAUCGUAAAACUCUGUUAUUAGGGAAGAACAAAUGUGUAAGUAACUAUGCACGUCUUGACGGUACCUAAUCAGAAAGCCACGGCUAACUACGUG
Molecule: ribosomal RNA, 497 nt
Filed under: uncultured bacterium
Lineage: Bacteria
Description: partial 16S ribosomal RNA
Rfam family: Bacterial small subunit ribosomal RNA
Source: RNAcentral